Molecule: ribosomal RNA, 879 nt
Filed under: Janibacter sp. CTLA17
Lineage: Bacteria; Bacillati; Actinomycetota; Actinomycetes; Micrococcales; Intrasporangiaceae
Description: bacterial SSU rRNA
Rfam family: Bacterial small subunit ribosomal RNA
Source: RNAcentral
GUGGCGAACGGGUGAGUAACACGUGAGCAACCUGCCCCAAACUCUGGAAUAAGCACUGGAAACGGUGUCUAAUACUGGAUACGAGACCAACCUGCAUGGGUAUGGUUUGGAAAGUUUUUCGGUUUGGGAUGGGCUCGCGGCCUAUCAGCUUGUUGGUGAGGUAAUGGCUCACCAAGGCGACGACGGGUAGCCGGCCUGAGAGGGCGACCGGCCACACUGGGACUGAGACACGGCCCAGACUCCUACGGGAGGCAGCAGUGGGGAAUAUUGCACAAUGGGCGAAAGCCUGAUGCAGCGACGCCGCGUGAGGGAUGACGGCCUUCGGGUUGUAAACCUCUUUCAGCAGGGAAGAAGCGAAAGUGACGGUACCUGCAGAAGAAGCACCGGCUAACUACGUGCCAGCAGCCGCGGUAAUACGUAGGGUGCGAGCGUUGUCCGGAAUUAUUGGGCGUAAAGAGCUUGUAGGCGGUUUGUCGCGUCUGCUGUGAAAAUCCGGGGCUCAACCCCGGACUUGCAGUGGGUACGGGCAGACUAGAGUGUGGUAGGGGAGACUGGAAUUCCUGGUGUAGCGGUGAAAUGCGCAGAUAUCAGGAGGAACACCGAUGGCGAAGGCAGGUCUCUGGGCCACUACUGACGCUGAGAAGCGAAAGCAUGGGGAGCGAACAGGAUUAGAUACCCUGGUAGUCCAUGCCGUAAACGUUGGGAACUAGGUGUGGGUCUCAUUCCACGAGAUCCGUGCCGCAGCUAACGCAUUAAGUUCCCCGCCUGGGGAGUACGGCCGCAAGGCUAAAACUCAAAGGAAUUGANGGGGCCCGCACAAGCGGCGGAGCAUGCGGAUUAAUUCGAUGCAACGCGAGAACCUUACCAAGGCUUGACAUA